GUCCACGCCUUAAACGAUGGGUACUCGGUGCUGGGCCGCAAGGUUUCAGUGCCAAAGCUAACGCAUUAAGUACCCCACCUGGGGAGUACGAUCGCAAGGUUGAAACUCAAAGGAAUUGACGGGGGCCCGCACAAGCAGUGGAGCAUGUGGUUCAAUUUCGAUGCAACGCGAAGAACCUUACCCGGAUUUGAAAGGCCAGUGACAACCGGCGAAAACCGGUCUUGUAGCAAUACACACUGGUACAGGUGCUGCAUGGCUGUCGU
RNAcentral lists this ribosomal RNA (263 nucleotides) under uncultured bacterium. RNAcentral's name for it is "partial 16S ribosomal RNA". It matches the Rfam family "Bacterial small subunit ribosomal RNA", at positions 793 to 1055 of the family's 1533-position model. The record is from RNAcentral.